RNAcentral lists this transfer RNA (86 nucleotides) under Ignavibacteriales bacterium. RNAcentral's name for it is "tRNA-Leu". It matches the Rfam family "tRNA". From Rfam's summary of the family: Transfer RNA (tRNA) molecules are approximately 80 nucleotides in length. Their secondary structure includes four short double-helical elements and three loops (D, anti-codon, and T loops). Further hydrogen bonds mediate the characteristic L-shaped molecular structure. tRNAs have two regions of fundamental functional importance: the anti-codon, which is responsible for specific mRNA codon recognition, and the 3' end, to which the tRNAs corresponding amino acid is attached (by aminoacyl-tRNA synthetases). tRNAs cope with the degeneracy of the genetic code in two manners: having more than one tRNA (with a specific anti-codon) for a particular amino acid; and 'wobble' base-pairing, i.e. permitting non-standard base-pairing at the 3rd anti-codon position. Lineage: Bacteria; Pseudomonadati; Ignavibacteriota; Ignavibacteria; Ignavibacteriales. The record is from RNAcentral.
GCCGGGGUGGCGGAAUUGGUAGACGCACAGGACUUAAAAUCCUGUGGGAUUUUUAUCCCGUGUCGGUUCGAGCCCGACCCUCGGUA